This 96-nucleotide non-coding RNA is filed under the name Ferroacidibacillus organovorans. RNAcentral describes it as "Acidibacillus ferrooxidans c-di-GMP sequence". It matches the Rfam family "c-di-GMP-I riboswitch aptamer". Rfam says of the family: GEMM was predicted in a large-scale screen for bacterial structured RNA regulatory elements. The record is from RNAcentral. Lineage: Bacteria; Bacillati; Bacillota; Bacilli; Caryophanales; Alicyclobacillaceae.
AAUUGACAAGGGCAAACUCUGCGAAAGCAGGGGACGCAAAACUACAGGGGCUAUCGGCGAAAGAUUUCAUUCGCCAACCGCCAGCCAGUUGCCGAU